CUCUCUCUCCCUCCCUGUAAUCAGCACCACCUUGGUCGUGCACCUCUUUUCAGCCGUCGUCAUCUCUGCCUGCAUAAAAGCCUGCCAGAUCCUGGAAACCCUCGUCAGAGUAUUAACGUUCCACCGUGUGCUCCUUCCGUGUUUCCCGCCUUGCUAACCUCUUCCACCACGCCGCCAAGCCAUCCAUCUGCUCACGCCACCGCCUGCCGCACGCUCCCUGUCUCGACAACCCGCCAUUAAGCCUUGAAGGUCUAAUUCCCAAUACCAUCCAUCAAUUUUCUGAGCCGCUCCUCCCCACUAGGGUCGCGGGCGUGCUGGAGCCUAUCCCAGCUAUCAUCGGGCAGGAGGCGGGGGACACCCUGAACUUGUUGCCAGCCAAUCGCAGGGCACAUAUAAACAAACAACCAUUUGCACUCACAUUCACACCUACGGGGAAUUUAGAGUUGUCAAUUAACCUACCAUACAUGUUUUCGGGAUGUGGGAGGAAACCGGAGUGCCCGCAGAAGACCUACGCAGGCGGGGCCGGGGAUUGAACCCCGGACCUCAGAACUGUGUUCUAACCAGUCGGCCACCGUGCCGCCAAUUCCCAAUACCUUUCCAAUAAACCAUUCACCAUAAACUUCUUAGCCUCUGCUUGCUUCUGGGUCCAGUCACAACUGAUACCUUCGUAUCGUGACAGAAUACUCUGGCCUCCAUGGACCCAGUAACCCGGAUACGCUAAAAUAAGCACUCACCCUCCAAGGCGCCCGUAUAGGAAGACAAAGCUCUCCAGGAAAUCAUGGAAUCAUUAACCACUCUCACGCAACAGGUUUCCCUGCUUUCUUCCAAAUUGCAGUCCGACUACCCUCCCGUAAUUACUCCUUCCUAGCCACCAGUCUCUGAUCCAUUCCGCCUCCCAUACAAAGAGCCUCAUGUUCCUCCGCCAGAGCCCUACUCCAGGGAGGGGUUACCAGUUCCUGGUAGAUUGGGAGGGGUAUGGACAGGAGGAACGCUCCUGGAUGACUCUUUGAUUGGGGUCUUUUACGUGCCCCACGUUGGGAAGCCGGGCAGGACUCUUGGAGGUGUCCAUUGAGAGGGGGGUACUGUCAUGAGGUAUCCUGUUAGUUCCUGUUUUGAAGCUUGGGUGGCGCUUUGCGCCCUUCUCGCCCUCUGUCUCACCCCUUAUUUCUCUUCCUUCCCUAUGAUCAGCACCACCUUGGUCGCACACCUGUAUUCAAUCAGCCGUCAUCAUCUCUGCCUGCAUAAAAGCCUGCCAGAUCCUGGAAACCCUCACCAGAAUAUUAACGUUCACCCGGGUGCUCCUUCUGUGUUCCCCGCCUUGGUGACCUCUUCCACCACGCCUCCAAGUCAUCCACCUGCUCACACCACCGCCUGCUGCGUGCUCCCUGUCUCGACGACCCGCCAUUACGUCUCGAAGGUCCAAUUCCCAAUUCCUUUUCAAUA
Molecule: long non-coding RNA, 1443 nt
Organism: Phyllopteryx taeniolatus (common seadragon)
Lineage: Eukaryota; Metazoa; Chordata; Actinopteri; Syngnathiformes; Syngnathidae
Exons: 3
Source: RefSeq, a predicted model, not a curated record